RNAcentral lists this ribosomal RNA (348 nucleotides) under uncultured bacterium. RNAcentral's name for it is "bacterial SSU rRNA". It matches the Rfam family "Bacterial small subunit ribosomal RNA", at positions 28 to 304 of the family's 1533-position model. The record is from RNAcentral.
GAUGAACGCUGGCGGCGUGCCUAAUACAUGCAAGUAGAACGCUGAAGAGAGGAGCUUGCUCUUCUUGGAUGAGUUGCGAACGGGUGAGUAACGCGUAGGUAACCUGCCUUGUAGCGGGGGAUAACUAUUGGAAACGAUAGCUAAUACCGCAUAACAAUGGAUGACACAUGUCAUUUAUUUGAAAGGGGCAAUUGCUCCACUACAAGAUGGACCCUGCGUCUAGUUAAGUAGUACGUUAAAGGUUAAGGUAGGGUAAAGGUUAAGUCGGGUCCUACCCUAACCGGUACGGGACCGGAACGUAACUAACUAAGUACCGGACCCCCGUACCGUAGGAAGGGUAGGGGUAGU